Molecule: ribosomal RNA, 496 nt
Filed under: uncultured bacterium
Lineage: Bacteria
Description: partial 16S ribosomal RNA
Rfam family: Bacterial small subunit ribosomal RNA
Source: RNAcentral
GAUGAACGCUGGCGGCGUGCCUAAUACAUGCAAGUCGAGCGAACAGACGAGGAGCUUGCUCCUCUGACGUUAGCGGCGGACGGGUGAGUAACACGUGGAUAACCUACCUAUAAGACUGGGAUAACUUCGGGAAACCGGAGCUAAUACCGGAUAAUAUAUUGAACCGCAUGGUUCAAUAGUGAAAGACGGUUUUGCUGUCACUUAUAGAUGGAUCCGCGCCGCAUUAGCUAGUUGGUAAGGUAACGGCUUACCAAGGCAACGAUGCGUAGCCGACCUGAGAGGGUGAUCGGCCACACUGGAACUGAGACACGGUCCAGACUCCUACGGGAGGCAGCAGUAGGGAAUCUUCCGCAAUGGGCGAAAGCUUGACGGAGUAACGCCGCGUGAGUGAUGAAGGUCUUCGGAUCGUAAAACUCUGUUAUUAGGGAAGAACAAAUGUGUAAGUAACUAUGCACGUCUUGACGGUACCUAAUCAGAAAGCCACGGCUAACUACGU